UACAGAGGUCUCAAGCGUUGUUCGGAUUCAUUGGGCGUAAAGGGUGCGUAGGUGGCGCCGUAAGUCGGGUGUGAAAUUUCGGAGCUUAACUCCGAAACUGCAUUUGAUACUGCCUUGCUUGAGGACUGGAGAGGAGACUGGAAUUCACGGUGUAGCAGUGAAAUGCGUAGAGAUCGUGAGGAAGACCAGUGGCGAAGGCGGGUCCCUGGACAGUUCCUGACACUGAGGCACGAAGGCCAGGGGAGCAAACGGG
Molecule: ribosomal RNA, 253 nt
Filed under: uncultured bacterium
Lineage: Bacteria
Description: partial 16S ribosomal RNA
Rfam family: Bacterial small subunit ribosomal RNA
Source: RNAcentral